AGUGAACGCUGGCGGUAGGCCUAACACGUGCAAGUCGAACGGCAGCACAGAGGAGCUUGCUCCUUGGGUGGCGAGUGGCGGACGGGUGAGGAAUACAUCGGAAUCUACUCUGUCGUGGGGGAUAACGUAGGGAAACUUACGCUAAUACCGCAUACGACCUACGGGUGAAAGCAGGGGAUCUUCGGACCUUGCGCGAUUGAAUGAGCCGAUGUCGGAUUAGCUAGUUGGCGGGGUAAAGGCCCACCAAGGCGACGAUCCGUAGCUGGUCUGAGAGGAUGAUCAGCCACACUGGAACAGAGACACGGUCCAGACUCCUACGGGAGGGAGCAGUGGGGAAUAGUGGACAAUGGGCGCAAGCCUGAUUCAGCCAUACCGCGUGGGUGAAGAAGGCCUUCGGGUUGUAAAGCCCUUUUGUUGGGAAAGAAAUCCAUCUGGUUAAUACCCGGGUGGGAUGACGGUACCCAAAGAAUAAGCACCGGCUAACUUCGUGCCAGCCGCCGCAGUAA
Molecule: ribosomal RNA, 506 nt
Filed under: uncultured bacterium
Lineage: Bacteria
Description: partial 16S ribosomal RNA
Rfam family: Bacterial small subunit ribosomal RNA
Source: RNAcentral